GUNGGUAGNCGUACGAGCGCACCCCUAUCCUUAGUUGCCAUCAGUUCGGCUGGGAACUCUAGGGAGACUGCCGGUGACAAACCGGAGGAAGGUGGGGACGACGUCAAGUCAUCAUGGCCCUUAUGGGCAGGGCUACACACGUGCUACAAUGGCCGGUACAAAGGGCAGCGAAGCCGCAAGGUGAAGCGAAUCUCACAAAACCGGUCGUAGUCCGGAUUGCAGUCUGCAACUCGACUGCAUGAAGCUGGAAUCGCUAGUAAUCGUGGAUCAGAAUGCCGCGGUGAAUACGUUCCCGGGCCUUGUACACACCGCCCGUCACACCAUGGGAGUGGGCUGUACCAGAAGUAGGUAGUCUAACCCUCGGGAGGACGUUUACCACGGAGUGAUUCAUGACUGGGGUGAAGUCGUAACAAGGUAGCCCUAGGGGAACCUGGGGCUGGAUCACCUCCUU
Molecule: ribosomal RNA, 451 nt
Filed under: uncultured Chromatiales bacterium
Lineage: Bacteria; Pseudomonadati; Pseudomonadota; Gammaproteobacteria; Chromatiales
Description: bacterial SSU rRNA
Rfam family: Bacterial small subunit ribosomal RNA
Source: RNAcentral